Molecule: ribosomal RNA, 468 nt
Filed under: uncultured bacterium
Lineage: Bacteria
Description: partial 16S ribosomal RNA
Rfam family: Bacterial small subunit ribosomal RNA
Source: RNAcentral
GACGAACGCUGGCGGCGUGCCUAACACAUGCAAGUCGAACGGCAACGCCCUGCUUUUGUGGGGUGAUCGAGUGGCGAACGGGUGAGUAACACGUGAGUAACCUGCCCUUGAUUUUGGGAUAACUUCAGGAAACUGGAGCUAAUCCCGGAUCGGAGCUCCUGCUGCAUGGUGGGGGUUGGAAAGUUUCGGCGGUUGGGGAUGGACUGGCGGCUUAUCAGCUUGUUGGUGGGGUAGUGGCAUACCAAGGCUUUGAAGGAUCGGCGGCCUGAGAGGGUGGCCGGCCACAAUAGGACUGAGGGACGGAGCAGUCGCCAACGUUAGACAGUGGGGGGGAAUAUUGCACAAUGGUCGGGAGCCUGAGGCGGCGGCGCCGCGUUCGGGAAGACGUCCUUCGGGUAAUAAACCGCUUUCGCCUAUUACGAAGCGUGAGUGACGGUAAUGGGUGAAGAAGCACCGGCUAACUACGUG